This 484-nucleotide ribosomal RNA is filed under the name uncultured bacterium. RNAcentral's name for it is "bacterial SSU rRNA". It matches the Rfam family "Bacterial small subunit ribosomal RNA", at positions 30 to 507 of the family's 1533-position model. The record is from RNAcentral.
AUUGAACGCUGGCGGCAUGCCUUACACAUGCAAGUCGAACGGCAGCACGGGAGCAAUCCUGGUGGCGAGUGGCGAACGGGUGAGUAAUAUAUCGGAACGUGCCCAGUCGUGGGGGAUAACGUAGCGAAAGCUACGCUAAUACCGCAUACGAUCUAUGGAUGAAAGCGGGGGAUCGCAAGACCUCGCGCGAUUGGAGCGGCCGAUAUCAGAUUAGCUAGUUGGUGGGGUAAAAGCUCACCAAGGCGACGAUCUGUAGCUGGUCUGAGAGGACGACCAGCCACACUGGAACUGAGACACGGUCCAGACUCCUACGGGAGGCAGCAGUGGGGAAUUUUGGACAAUGGGCGCAAGCCUGAUCCAGCAAUGCCGCGUGCAGGACGAAGGCCUUCGGGUUGUAAACUGCUUUUGUACGGAACGAAAAAGUCUGCCUUAAUACGGUGGGCUCAUGACGGUACCGUAAGAAUAAGCACCGGCUAACUACGUG